Molecule: long non-coding RNA, 725 nt
Filed under: Homo sapiens (human)
Lineage: Eukaryota; Metazoa; Chordata; Mammalia; Primates; Hominidae
Description: HSALNT0067750
Source: RNAcentral
CCAGUCUUCAGAGCAUUGGAGUUUGGUGUUUGUGAAUUGUGAUUGUGUCAACAGCUACUGGAGUGUAACUAAGAAAACCUCAACCAGCUGCGUUGUUAGCACUUUUUAUGUUUUAUGUGUUACUUUUAGGAGACAAAUCACUUGGAAGUAAGAUUUUUUAAAUUUAAAAUAAAACCUUCAGGGUGUGUGAUGGGACAGACAGAUGAGCGUGAAUCGGUUUCUAAGUUAGUGGCAGCACGUGAUGGCCAGGGUUCUGUUUUCCUGGUCAGGGUGUAAUUGGUGAUGAGGAUGAUGAGUGGAUGUUUCCCAGCAGCUGGGAAAUGAAGCUUGCUGGAAAAUCAGACCGUCCUUGUAAUUUAUAACGAGCCCCCGUAAGGGGCCAGGAGCUCCUGUUGAUUGGCGGGAGGGCUCAGUCAGGAGGACCAUUUUAUUUUCUUUGUGUCAAAGCAACUGUGUUUCUGAUUUUAAUUGUGUUGUGGUGGUGAACACAGGAGUGGGAUGAGCAGAGGCCGUUCUGGAGGGCAGCUUGUAACAUGUGGGUGACCCUCUAUUUAAAUUUAAAUAGCUGUUUCCAUUUAUCUCAAGAAUAUAAGCAGAGGCAGGAGCCUGGGAUGGGACAGAGGCAUGUCCACUGAAGUGUCCUUCACAAAGUGUCCUUGCAAAAAGGAACAACCAGGGUAAUUAUCCAGCAGCAAUACAGUGAUCCUCCCAGUGAGGUCGGUGCU